Molecule: ribosomal RNA, 459 nt
Filed under: uncultured bacterium
Lineage: Bacteria
Description: partial 16S ribosomal RNA
Rfam family: Bacterial small subunit ribosomal RNA
Source: RNAcentral
CCUACGGGAGGCAGCAGUGAGGAAUAUUGGUCAAUGGCCGAGAGGCUGAACCAGCCAAGUAGCGUGAGGGAAGACUGCCCUAUGGGUUGUAAACCUCUUUUGUCGGGGAGUAAAGUGAGUCACGUGUGACUCUUUGCGUGUACCUGAUGAAUAAGGAUCGGCUAACUCCGUGCCAGCAGCCGCGGUAAUACGGAGGAUCCGAGCGUUAUCCGGAUUUAUUGGGUUUAAAGGGAGCGCAGGCGGAGGUGUAAGUCAGCGGUAAAAUUUCGGGGCUCAACCUCGUACUGCCGUUGAAACUGGAGCCCUUGAGUGCGCGAGAGGUAUGCGGAAUGCGUGGUGUAGCGGUGAAAUGCUUAGAUAUCACGAAGAACUCCGAUUGCGAAGGCAGCAUGCCGGAGCGCAACUGACGCUGAUGCACGAAAGCGUGGGUAUCGAACAGGAUUAGAUACCCUAGUAGUC